This is a non-coding RNA of Panthera uncia (snow leopard), 1802 nucleotides long. The record is from the annotation of a RefSeq genome assembly. NCBI's taxonomy places the organism in Eukaryota, Metazoa, Chordata, Mammalia, Carnivora, Felidae.
CAGUGCACAGGACAGCUCCCACAGUACAGAAUUAUACAGGGGCUGCUGAGCAAAAAUCAGACAUUCAAGGGAGCCAAGAUUUGAGUGGGAUCACCCUGAAUUAUUGUGAAGAAGAUCCAGAGAAGAGAAACUAGCCAGACUCUGAGACCAGAUCUGGAGGAGGGAAAAGGCAGGGAGGCAGAGAAACAUCCUUUUUUAAAAAUUAUUUUUAUUGUUUUAGAAAGAAAGAGCAUGAGCAGAGGGACAGAGAGAGAGAAAGAGAGAGAGACAGAGAGAGACAGAGAAUCUCAAACAGGCUCCAUGUUCAGUGUGGAGCCCGAGUCAGGGCUCGAUCCCACAACCCAGUUGGUUGAGUCUGGUGGUCUGAUCCCAGACUCUGUUGCUUGAGUCUGAUGCUCAACCAGCUAAGCCACCCAGGUGCCCCGGCAGAGAAAGAUCCUUAAGGCAACAUGCCUGCCCCAUUCAAACUACCCCCAGAAAUUCCAAACUCCUUUGAAAGGAGUAGGAAUGAAAAUGUCUUUGAAAGGAGUAGUGCAAGAAAUGAAAAACGAAGAGAGCCCAAGAAUGGGGAAGUCAUUCUAGUCUGUGACAUCACAGGCAGGGCACCAGGAAGGGUGUGGACAACUGCAGCCUGGCUCUUACCUCUGAGGACUGGAACCCCUGGUGGGUCUCCGCCUGUCUCCACCAUGGGCUCCGGCCUCCUCUGCUGUGUGGUCCUCUGCCUCCUGGGAGCAGCCCCCCUGGACACAUCAGUUUCCCAGACUCCCAAAUACCUCAUCACACAGAUGGGAACUGAGAAGUUCCUACAAUGUGAACAAAAGCUGAGCCAUGAUGCUAUGUACUGGUAUAAGCAGGAUUCCAAGAAAUUGCUGAAGAUCAUGUUUGCCUACAAUAAUAAGGAACUCAUUCACAAUGAAACAGUUCCAAGGCGUUUCUCACCUGAAUCUCCUGACAAAGCUCGUUUAAACCUUCGUGUCAGCGCCCUGGAGACAGGUGACUCUGCCGUGUAUCUCUGUGCCAGCAGCCAACACAGCGUUGCAGAGUCACUGCCUCCCUGUGCACAAACCCCCUGGCCCAGCCAGGAAGCUGCGGAAGGGGCUAUGUCUUGACCCUGAGGCUCCAUUCACCCCCGUGAGACCCCUAGACUGGAGUUUCCAGUCUGUAGUACAGGCUGCCCAUACACCCGGUGAGGUUCUUCUUUAUUUAUGCCCACAGAAGUCUCCCAGAAUUCUACUUAUCAGCUAGAGCAGGGGUUUCCAGUAAAUUCACGGAAGUACUCAGGAUUUCAGAAACAAGAAGAUCUUAACUGGUGGAAGAAGCCCUUCCUUGAAUUUGUUUGCUGAUACUUACUGUACAAACAUUAUGACCGAAAACACGCUAUUCACUAAAAUUGUCCCAUGAGCAAAAGCCUAGAGGAAAGUGGGGUGAAGACAAACGUUUCUAAGACCACAGGAAACUUCAGAUUAUUAAUGAGUGCACGGGUGAAUAGAAAAAUAUUUGGAGAAGCAUGAAAGUUCAUGGCAGUAGGUAAACUAGAGAGAAAGAAAGACAAUAUAGAAUAGAAACUCUGGAUUGCUUAUGUUCUCCUAAACACCCACAGGGGUAGGCUUGUGCACUACAGACUCCUCCUCCAGGAGGGCUGACCGGGGCGAUUCUUCCCAAGUCUGACCGAGUAGCAUCUUGAAGAUUCCUCCAGAAUAGGCAGUACCCAGGUGGCAGAGGACAUUGAACAUUGAAAGGACUUUCUACACAAAUCUGUAUGCGGUAGCUAGUUGUUGGCCCUACCUUAAGCGAGAUAACAU